Molecule: long non-coding RNA, 602 nt
Organism: Hemicordylus capensis (graceful crag lizard)
Lineage: Eukaryota; Metazoa; Chordata; Lepidosauria; Squamata; Cordylidae
Exons: 2
Source: RefSeq, a predicted model, not a curated record
CACAUCCUGGCAAGGAGUCAGAAACCAGGUUCAUUCUAGCUCCUUCUCAAUGCCAACCCUAAAAGGCCAGGGCCCUUUUUGGGGACUUCACACCACCGAGCCGCACAGCCUUCUAAUUUGUGGAGUCCUCAAAGCAGGGACAGCCCCACAUGCAGUGUAUUGCAAUAGUUGAUCCUAGAGCUUCCAGAAGUAUGGAUGGUGGUGGCAAGACCUCUCUGUUCCAGCCUGUGUAUGAGAUGCAAUUAAUAUGUGCAUGGAGGGAAGAAAGAGGGAGUGUUUGGCACCUAGUAAGAAGCUGAGAGCCUGUUUCCUGCCCCACCCUUUUCUUCAAGUAUAUCUGACGUUUGCACGUGCCAGAGGCGUGAGCCUCUUGGUGUGAGCUAAAGGGCUCUUGUCCUGUGACUCUCGGCCUGUAAACUCAAAAGUCUUUGGGUCAGUCUGUAGCUAAACACCAUUAACUUCUGUGCAUCAGCCAGUUUGUACUAGUGUGAUGCCCAAGUAAUCUCUCUUUUUUAAAAAUUACCUCUGACUCUUUAAUUCUGUUGCUCUCAAUGUCAUUAUGAUUUGGAUUUGAAUUAAUAAAAUUUAUAAUGAACUCCUGA